RNAcentral lists this ribosomal RNA (407 nucleotides) under uncultured bacterium. Its description in RNAcentral is "partial 16S ribosomal RNA". It matches the Rfam family "Bacterial small subunit ribosomal RNA", at positions 30 to 526 of the family's 1533-position model. The record is from RNAcentral.
AUUGAACGCUGGCGGCAGGCCUAACACAUGCAAGUCGAGCGGAGCGGCGGACGGGUACGUAAUGCCUAGGAAUCUGCCUGGUAGUGGGGGAUAACGUCCGGAAACGGGCGCUAAUACCGCAUACUAUCAGAUGAGCCUAGGUCGGAUUAGCUAGUGGGUGGGGUAAGGGCCUACCAAGGCGACGAUCCGUAACUGGUCUGAGAGGAUGAUCAGGCACACGGGAACUGAGAUACGGUCCAGACUCCUACGGGAGGCAGUGGUGGGGAAUAUUGGAAAAUUGGGGAAAGCCCUAUCCAGCCACGCCGCGUGCGUGAAGAAGGUCUUCGGAUCGUAAAGCACUUUAAGUUGGGAGGCGUUACCAACAGAAUAAGCACCGGCUAACUUCGUGCCAGCAGCCGCGGUAAUAC